RNAcentral lists this long non-coding RNA (936 nucleotides) under Sorghum bicolor (sorghum). Its description in RNAcentral is "long non-coding RNA (SBIC_LNC004882)". The record is from RNAcentral. Lineage: Eukaryota; Viridiplantae; Streptophyta; Magnoliopsida; Poales; Poaceae.
GUGGUAUUUGUGGUAUAAAGCAUAAUGACAUUGCCUUCUCUCUCAUCCUACUCUAAUAAGGCUUUAAUAUCUGGAGCUCAUAGGUGGGAGAUAAAAUAUACAUACUUACAAGACAUGUAUUGCAUAGUCAAACCAUGGAUCCAAAGUAACAAGUCAAUAAGUUUAAUCAAGAUGUGCAUGUGUGGCGAAUGAAUGGUAUAUGGUGAUGAUGGUGAUAACAAUGGUGAAAACAAUGGUGGUGAAAGUCUAAUUCUACUUUGCUCUUCUGAGGGGAUACAUACCUUCCUUGCUUUUGAAACUUUAUGAGGAGAAUGAGAUGCUCUUCUUUUUCUUUUCUCUCAGGUGGGUAUCUUGCACCCCUAAUUCUACUGUCGGACACUUGUCCAUUUUUACCUCUCGUCUCACUUUUUUCUUUUCUUUCGAGGUUCCGAGCACUUGCUCCUUUUUAUUUCCUCGUAUUAUUCUUCUCUCUCUCUCUUUUUUUAGAGCAUUCAUCUCUUGAGAUAAUAUAGCAAGUGGUAGUAACAAGAUAACUUGAGCAUUUAUUUCACAAGGGGAAAACAGAAAUAUUUUUGGUUAUUCUCUCCCGGAUUAGGAGUAGAAUAUUUUUAGGUGGUUCUGGAGAUGGAAUGGGUGGAUAUAUGUGGAUGGUACUUCCGGAGUAGAAGUAGCAUAUAUGAGUGAACGUGCAAGUGAAUCUUGAUUUAACCACAUGACAAGCUCCUAAGGAUCUACACAGCUUGACCACACUCAAUGCUCAUAAGUAGUAAAUAGUAAAUGUGUGGCUCAAAGUCUAGCAAGCAUGUAUAUAUGGCUGUGGUAGGAAUUUAAACUCUCAUCAUACAGGAACUCAUCAUGCAACAUUUUAAAGAUUUUCAAAGAUAAAAUUCUCCAGAAUUCUAGCAUCUCUAGGAACAGAUAAACAACAGCUCAACC